This is a long non-coding RNA of Nicotiana attenuata, 662 nucleotides long. RefSeq lists it as uncharacterized. The record is from RefSeq and is a predicted model, not a curated record. NCBI's taxonomy places the organism in Eukaryota, Viridiplantae, Streptophyta, Magnoliopsida, Solanales, Solanaceae. The transcript is spliced from 2 exons.
GUAGGUGUUGCAUCCCUGAAGUUGUUCUGCGGUGUAUGCAGGUCUGUGUGUCGCUUGUCGGGUCUGGUAGUCCACCUAAUACCCAUGAUGAGUUGAUCAACCUUGUCACAAAUCCUGAAACAGGGUUCAUUCGUCUCUUCAGUCAGCAUCAAUUGCAGGUAUUACUGUUUGGCUUGUACCCUUUAUGCACAGGAAAAGAGAUAAUAGAGUUUUCCUACAGCUGAAUGACUGUUAGGUUGGACAAAGUCUCAUCAGUUCUCAUGCAUACACCAUUUGUAGCAUUAAUAUAGUUGUAGGAUUUGUAGCAUUAAUAUAUUUGUUGUCUUAGUCUUUUGAUAAAGUAGAUCUGUGGUCUUGUUAGUCGGUUAAUUUGAUUUGUUGGGCAAUAAUUAGAUCUUGCUACUAAAGUUGAAGCUACUUUUCAUACAAGAGUUUUUGUUAUUUGAGAGGGAAUAUACAAUAUACAAAAUGGAACUUGAGGAGGAGCCAACCGCUUGAUUUGAGGAGCUUAAAUACUUGACAGGCUUGUUUCAAUUUAAGUUAUGGUAUAUAUUUUUGUAGUCUAUCAAAAUUAGGUUCUUUUUUUGAUGGUUGUUACCUAUUAUAUUGUUACAUUAAAAUACAAUAUUUGUUUUGAUUAUUAUUUAAAAGUUGAAUAUAUC